ACGCAAUAGAUACCCCGGUAGUCCUAGCUGUAAACGGUGCGCGUUUGGUGUUGGCAAGUUAGACCUUGUCAGUGCCGGAGCUAAACGCGUUAAACGCGCCGCCUGGGAAGUACGAUCGCAAGAUUAAAACUCAAAGAAAUUGACGGGGACCCGCACAAGCGGUGGAGUAUGUGGCUUAAAUUCGAUGCAACGCGAAGAACCUUACCUGGAUUUGACAUGCACUGUGUCUCCGAUGAAAGUCGGAUACUGUUGAAACAUACAGGCUUUGCACAGGUGCUGCAUGGCUGUCGUCAGCUCGUGUCGUGAGAUGUUGGGUUAAGUCCCGCAACGAGCGCAACCCUCGUGGUUUGUUGCCCCCGGAUUUAUUUCCGCGCACUCAAACCAUACUGCCCAGAUUAACUGGGAGAAGGCGAGGAUGACGUCAAGUCAGUAUGGCCCUUACAUCCAGGGCUGCACACGUACUACAAUGCCCAAUCAAAUAGAUCCUAAUCCGCGAGGAGGAGGAAAUCUCAUAAAAUUGGGCCCAGUUC
RNAcentral lists this ribosomal RNA (530 nucleotides) under uncultured bacterium. Its description in RNAcentral is "bacterial SSU rRNA". It matches the Rfam family "Bacterial small subunit ribosomal RNA", at positions 772 to 1294 of the family's 1533-position model. The record is from RNAcentral.